Non-coding RNA from Gasterosteus aculeatus aculeatus (three-spined stickleback), 1379 nucleotides. The record is from RefSeq and is a predicted model, not a curated record. NCBI's taxonomy places the organism in Eukaryota, Metazoa, Chordata, Actinopteri, Perciformes, Gasterosteidae.
UUUUCUCGGUUAUACACUAAUGAGCUAGCGUUAGCUUAAACAUGUAGGUAACCGUUAGCUCUGAGAGCACGGAGGAAAUGCGCUUCAAUGCGGGGAAGUGUAAGUUGCAGCUGCUCUGUAGGCAACAGAGACCACACCUCAUGACCACAUGUUGGCUAAAAACUAAAUGGAUAAGAUAAUAUUGGUUUGCCUGCCGUGCCAAAAUUCAGUAAUGAUAAAUGAACAAUACUUAUUUUUCAUAAAAUAAAUGUACCAAUCCUGAAUUGUAUUUUUUUUGCAGUUUUUCUAUCUGAUGUUGGUGUGAUGUGGAACUCUUUGGGGACCUCAUAUUGUUUUGGGCAGUAAUCGCUGACAGCAAAGUCAAUCUGCCACUGAUCAUAUGUAGGCACUCAACAACUUUUGUGCAAACGGUUUUGGUCGUCUGAGGUCGAUGAGAUACAUGCUAAGUUCCAACGCGUUACCACCAUCCCACUGGAAUCUACCUUCAUGGCACAGUUGGACAGCCAUUUAGCCCAAUUGACGUAUAUCUUCCAGACGAAGGGAGGAGUUGCUGGCCAGAAACUAGCUAAACAUCUGGAGAUCUUGCAAGAAGAGACAAAUUAUGUCAAUCCUAAAAGGACAGCUGUCCUAAAGGCUCUUUGCAUCUACCUGGGGGAGGACGAGGGACAGCUUGUUCUGGAGUAUAUGGCCCAGAACACAACUACUAAGAGGUCUGGCUCCUGUGCAGUGAACCCCGACCAUUCCACCGGCUCCGGAACCUGAUCCGGCCCGCUUCAGGUCCCGUCUACUCUGCUGAGGAGCUCAAGAGGAUGCUGGGAAAUCUAGUCAGCCACCGCCGAUGUCACGGGAUUGGUGAGCUGCAGACAAAGAGGACAAAAGAAUCCCCCCACAGCACCGCCUACAUUCCUCCCAGAUGACCUUUGACUCCUCUGACUCCCCCAAUGAGGGAUCAUAGAGGGGGCUUGGGAGUAUGCUCAUCCAGUCUACAUUUUGUGGACUUGGAGAAGGCGUAUGACCGGGUCCCCCGAGAGAAACUGUGGGAGGUGCUGCGGGAGUACGGGGUGAGGGGGUCCUUGCUUGGGGCCAUCCAAUCCUUGUACGCCCAAAGCGAGAACUGUGUUCGGGCGCUCGGCAGUACGUCGGAGGCGUUUCCGGUGGGGGUAGGCCUUCGCCAGGGCUGCGCCUUGUCACCUCCUAGGGAGACGGCGCUCCGCUGCUGCAGUACCGACAGUGGCCACGGUGGCGCCGUUUCACCACAAGUGGGAAAAGUCCAUGAUAGCCGUAGAAAACCCCAAAGACACUGGAACUGUGUUCGGGUGCUCGGCCGUACGUCGGAGGCGUUUCCGGUGGGGGUUGGCCUUCGCCAGGGCUGCGCCUUG